GCAUCUAGAUUAGACUUUGAUCCUGGCUCAGGACAAACGCUGGCGGCGUGCCUAAUACAUGCAAGUCGAGCGGACAGAUGGGAGCUUGCUCCCUGAUGUUAGCGGCGGACGGGUGAGUAACACGUGGGUAACCUGCCUGUAAGACUGGGAUAACUCCGGGAAACCGGGGCUAAUACCGGAUGCUUGUUUGAACCGCAUGGUUCAAACAUAAAAGGUGGCUUCGGCUACCACUUACAGAUGGACCCGCGGCGCAUUAGCUAGUUGGUGAGGUAAUGGCUCACCAAGGCGACGAUGCGUAGCCGACCUGAGAGGGUGAUCGGCCACACUGGGACUGAGACACGGCCCAGACUCCUACGGGAGGCAGCAGUAGGGAAUCUUCCGCAAUGGACGAAAGUCUGACGGAGCAACGCCGCGUGAGUGAUGAAGGUUUUCGGAUCGUAAAGCUCUGUUGUUAGGGAAGAACAAGUACCGUUCGAAUAGGGCGGUACCUUGACGGUACCUAACCAGAAAGCCACGGCUAACUACGUGCCAGCAGCCGCGGUAAUACGUAGGUGGCAAGCGUUGUCCGGAAUUAUUGGGCGUAAAGGGCUCGCAGGCGGUUUCUUAAGUCUGAUGUGAAAGCCCCCGGCUCAACCGGGGAGGGUCAUUGGAAACUGGGGAACUUGAGUGCAGAANAGGAGAGUGGAAUUCCACGUGUAGCGGGUGAAAUGCGUAGAGAUGUGGAGGANCACCNGUGGCGAAGGCGACUCUCUGGUCUGUAACUGACGCUGANGAGCNNAAGCGUGGGGGAGCGAACANGAU
RNAcentral lists this ribosomal RNA (801 nucleotides) under Bacillus subtilis. RNAcentral's name for it is "bacterial SSU rRNA". It matches the Rfam family "Bacterial small subunit ribosomal RNA", at positions 1 to 778 of the family's 1533-position model. The record is from RNAcentral. Lineage: Bacteria; Bacillati; Bacillota; Bacilli; Caryophanales; Bacillaceae.